UAUUUGGAAAUCGGCAUUCGAAGCUUGAUUCUUGAAGUUCAAGUGUUCAACAUUGAAAUACUUGCUUGACGUUUGUUCGUGGUAACACCGGAUUUCAUGUUAGAUGUGCAUGUCAUGUUUACAAUUUAAUUGUUAAAAGUGGCUUCGAUUUAUUUUUACAUGAGAUUACUCUAGUUAGAAGAGCAGUUGGAGUAAUUCAGGGAAAUANNN
This 210-nucleotide long non-coding RNA is filed under the name Nicotiana benthamiana. RNAcentral describes it as "long non-coding RNA (NBEN_LNC009172)". Lineage: Eukaryota; Viridiplantae; Streptophyta; Magnoliopsida; Solanales; Solanaceae. The record is from RNAcentral.